GACGAACGCUGGCGGCGUGCUUAACACAUGCAAGUCGAACGGAAAGGCCCUGCUUUUGUGGGGUGCUCGAGUGGCGAACGGGUGAGUAACACGUGAGUAACCUGCCCUUGACUUUGGGAUAACUUCAGGAAACUGGGGCUAAUACCGGAUAGGAGCUCCUGCUGCAUGGUGGGGGUUGGAAAGUUUCGGCGGUUGGGGAGGGACUCGCGGCUUAUCAGCUUGUUGGUGGGGUAGUGGCUUACCAAGGCUUUGACGGGUAGCCGGCCUGAGAGGGUGACCGGCCACAUUGGGACUGAGGUACGGCCCAGACUCCUACGGGAGGCAGCAGUGGGGAAUAUUGCACAAUGGGCGGAAGCCUGAUGCAGCAACGCCGCGUGCGGGAUGACGGCCUUCGGGUUGUAAACCGCUUUCGCCUGUGACGAAGCGUGAGUGACGGUAAUGGGUAAAGAAGCACCGGCUAACUACGUG
Molecule: ribosomal RNA, 468 nt
Filed under: uncultured bacterium
Lineage: Bacteria
Description: partial 16S ribosomal RNA
Rfam family: Bacterial small subunit ribosomal RNA
Source: RNAcentral